AACUUUUCCAUACCUAAGAUGUCUUAUUUAUCCUACUGAGGUCAUAAUGGCAUCUACCUCACAGGAUCGUUAUGGGAAUGAAAUAAAUAAAAGAAUCCCUAACGGGUGCAGCCUGCCAGUGGUUCCCUGGACAUACGGCCACCAAGAAUAAAUACUACAUUUCCCCACCAUCAUCGCAGCUAGAUGUGGCCAAGUGACUAAGUAUUCAUCAGUGAUAUAUGAGCAAAUGUGAUACACAUAACUUCCAAAUUUGACUCUUAAAGGGAAGAAGACUAUGACUAGGAGAAAUGCAAGCAAGAGAGCGAGAUCUCUUGAAUUAUGACUUAAACAUAUACUGUGAGAGUGUAUGAAUUUGCCAAAAGAGGUAUACAGUGGACAGCAUUUCCUAAUCCAUUUUUGACAAUGAACAUCACCACCACCACCACCCACCAUUUUUUUCCAGAGCAUCUAUGGCCAAAUAUGGUUUGGGAAACCUAAGACUCUCAGACUUUAGCCAAUAAAAUUAGAAGUGUGUGUAAAAUUCAAGAACUGAUUUAGUAAAAUUUGGUUGGUUGGGUUUUUUGCUUCUGGACACCUUCAGUCCUUCUUAGAGUCCAACAGCUGCAUCAACACAGAAUGGAAGAAAAAAAGUAAAGAUACAUGAAGAAACAAACUGGCUGAUGACAAGAGAACAGAAUGCCCAGCAAGAAAAGCAAAGUUACCUUGUAUACUGUCUUUAAGGGGCAAGUACCCUAUACACUGGGACUAGAAGAUGGAAGCUCAUGAAAAAGGAGAACACCGCAAGGAAAUCCAUCUGAAUGUUUGCCAUCUGAUUCGAUAAAUGGGUGUGUUAAGCCAUUACUUUCAACACACUGAGGCGGUCCAGACACUUUUUCUUCACCAACAAUGAGAAACGUCCUCACGGAGUAAGAUCUGCACCACUGGGCAGCCAGAAUGCUACUUAAUCUUUCUCCGCACCCUACACUCACAAGGAAGUAGAACUGACACCCAAAGCACCUUCUUUUUGAAGGAGAAGAAAAAAGAGAAGAGAUUUCCCUUCUACGAGAGUUUAGGUCAAACAAGAAAUUAGAGGGAACAUUGCUCACAAGAGACCACCUCACUUCUGACACAAACUGCAAGAUUGGAGGUUCCUAAAACCACCUUCACUUUCAAUAAUUUGUUAGAAGGACUCAUAAAACUCACUAAAAGCUAUUAUAUUAAAAUAAGCCAAGGGAAGACAUGCAUAGGGCAUAGUCCAGGAACUACCAAAAAUGAAGCUUCCAUUGUCCUCCCUGCCCCAGCUGGCCCCUGGAGAUAGAAAUGUGUUACUUUCCCUGUACAAGGUGUGUCAGUAUGCAGAGACUACUGCCAACAAGGAACUAAAAAAUACAAAAAA
Microcebus murinus (gray mouse lemur) is the source of this 1375-nucleotide non-coding RNA. NCBI's taxonomy places the organism in Eukaryota, Metazoa, Chordata, Mammalia, Primates, Cheirogaleidae. The record is from RefSeq and is a predicted model, not a curated record.